GGAUCAUGGAGGCCAGGACGUCCUUCAGGUUUGUGGCGGCGGUGGCAGCGUGGCGGGCAGCAAAGAGGACACAUGGAGAGUUCUUGGGCCCGCGGAGGCGCGCGGCCGCGCGGCUGCCGGCAGCGAGGAGCGUCAUGGCGGCGCGGGGCGGAGCGGACGGAGCGGGCGCGGGACCGGGACCGGGACCGGAGCGAACGGCGGCGGCGGCGGCGCCCGGGGGUCCUCGGCGCGGCGGGCGGGGCGAGGCGCGGCGCCGCGUACGUUAUUAGCAUAGCCCCGCCCCCGCCCGCCCCCCUCGGGGUUGAGCCGUUCGCUAUUGGCCGAGCCCGGUCCCGAUGGGGGCGGGGCUACGCAAAUGAGGCUACGGGGGGGGCCGGGCUAUAGGUGGCCUCCGCGUUCGCCUGAUCUGGGCGUGGGGUGCGGUGAUGCGAGCCCCGCCCCGUGACGUCACCGACUCGCCGUGACGUCACCGGAUCGCCGCGUGACGUCAUCCCUCCAUAUCGGGGCUCCCCCCCCCCUCUCUCCCAACGCGUGCCCUCCUUAUUGCUCGGCUGUGGCUCAGGGCUGCUGUGUUGUCACCACGCGGCGCUCACCCCAUGACACUGCCCUGCACUGCGGUGACAUCGGAGGACACGGGGGGGGGAGGGGGGGGCAGAGUGCCCAAUAACCCGGGGCCAUUGUCCUGGUGACCCCACGGUGGCACCACGCGACAAGUGGGUGGGCCCCCCCACAGCACCCAGGGGCUGCCUGCAGGGACGGGGUGUGAUGGGGGCACCGGGGCAGAGACAGCACCGAGCUACGUAAGGAAGAGCAGUCUGUGGUCAAAGGGCACUACAGGGCCACCAUCAGUCCUGUGGGUAUGUGCCCUCCCUGCCCCAGCCCCACACCCGCCCCCAUUGAGGUUCACAGCAGCGACACCAGCCCACAUUGGGCCCCGUUUAUUGCCUCCUGGAUUGGGCCCCAGGUGCCCAACAGACCCCCAGCAGCACCGCUGUCCCUAUAGCAGCCCCAGGCAGCAGCAGAGAGAGCCUGGAGCCACACAUCAGCCACCGGAACGGCCCCAACCAAAGGACGCAUCCCUGCCCGCAUGGCAGCAGAUGGACAGCGAAUAAAUAGGACGGGAGAAUCCAGAAUCCCCCCGCCCACAGUGGGGAUGGGGCCGAGGCUGUGGGGCAGCGUGGUGUUGGUGGGGGGUCGGCGCAGCCCGGGGCCGGCGGCGUCACAGCUCAUCAUGCGGGAGGUGCAGCGCGUGGUCACACAGAUCCGUCCUCUUGCUGCACAGCCGGUCCUUGACGUUGUCGGCCUCGUGGGACAGGAACUCAAUGAGCUCAUCCUCGUACUCCUCAGCGAUGCUCUCACACGCAAACUUGAGGCUGGAGGCCACGUCGCCGUCGAUUUUGACCCCGGACAGGUCCAGUUUGGUCCCGUCGUGGGAGAUGACCCUCACGUAGCUCUUCCGCUGCGUGGUCGGGUCCGCCUUCUCGCCGUACUCCUUCAUCUUCUCGCAGAUGCGCUCCAGCAGCUCCGUCAGGUGCGCCUCCGAGCGGGCGUACGGCACCUCCACCACCGAUUGGCUGCCGUCGGGGUUGAUGCGGAACGAACCCAUCUGGAUGGUUUUCCGGGGGUCGACCUGGGCGAUCUCCCACUCCAGCUCGUCCACCAGCGCCCGGCACGCUCCGCAGUGCAGGUCCUGACUCCGCCGGCCGCUCACCGCGGGCAGAAGAGCGGCCACAGCCGCGGCCACACACAGCGGGGCCGGGAUGGAGACGCGGCCCCUCCUCAUCGUCCUCAUCCUCCGCCCCGGCCGCGCGCGGCCCGCUCCCCGCCCGCCCCUCACCCGCCGGGCCCCGCUCGAGCCCCCGUCCGCCACCGCCGCCCCCCGGUCCCGCCGUCCCCGGGGCUGCCCGUCGCGGUGCCUGUCCCGCCGCUCUCCCUCCGGCCGCUCAACGGCGGAGAACGGCCCCUUCCAGAGGGCGGCGGUGGAGGCCGCCGGGGCGCUGGUGGCCGCCGUAGGGGUCGAGGCCGCUCCUCGGAGCGCCGCCGGGCCGCCCCGCACGCAGGCAGCGCCUCGGCCACCCCGCGGCGGGGAGAGGCCCCGAACUGGCAGGACCCGGCCCGCGUGGCGGU
This 2127-nucleotide long non-coding RNA is filed under the name Gallus gallus (chicken). Lineage: Eukaryota; Metazoa; Chordata; Aves; Galliformes; Phasianidae. The record is from RNAcentral.